Molecule: ribosomal RNA, 440 nt
Filed under: uncultured bacterium
Lineage: Bacteria
Description: partial 16S ribosomal RNA
Rfam family: Bacterial small subunit ribosomal RNA
Source: RNAcentral
CCUACGGGUGGCAGCAGUAGGGAAUAUUGCUCAAUGGGGGAAACCCUGAAGCAGCAACGCCGCGUGGAGGAUGGAGGUUUUCGGAUGGUAAACUCCUUUUGUUAGAGAAGAUAAUUACGGUCUCGAACGAAUAAGCAACUGCCAACUCCAUGCCAGCAGCCGCGGUAAUACGGAGGGUGCAAGCGUUACUCGGAAGCACUGGGCUUAAGGGGCGCGUAGGCGGGAGAGCAAGUCAGAUGUGAAAUCCUAUGGCUUACCCAUAGAACUGCCUUUGAAACUGUGAUUCUAGCGUAUGGGAGAGGUAGGUGGAAUCCUUGGUGUAGGGGUAAAAUCCGUAGAGAUCAAGCGGAAUACUCAUUGCGAAGGCGACCUGCUAGAACAUAACUGACGCUGAUGCGCGAAAGCGUGGGGAGCAAACAGGAUUAGAUACCCCAGUAGUC